This 1839-nucleotide small RNA is filed under the name Histoplasma capsulatum. RNAcentral describes it as "hypothetical RNA". The record is from RNAcentral. RNAcentral also lists the same sequence under 1 other name. Lineage: Eukaryota; Fungi; Ascomycota; Eurotiomycetes; Onygenales; Ajellomycetaceae.
AUUGCAUUUGGUGUCAUCAACCUCUCAAAGAUGUCCUGCAUCGGUGUUUUCCUCAGUGAAGCCACAUCCGAUCCUGAAACUAUCGAGCGUGUGCUCUCAUUUACUUUCGCAGACAAUGGAUCAUGAACCAAGCGGUGUCCGCGGAUCUUCGAGGGUGUAUUAUUUGGUGACGAAAGUUCCUCUAUUUCCUCCUCUGAAUCUGUAUUUCCAAUCUUUGCUUGCCGAUUCCGUUUCCCCGCCCCUUUCGCUGAAACUGAACUCAUUUUUGGGCGAAGCAGGGAUUUUCGUACCCUUCGCCUUCGUCCUUUCGGAACAUGAAUUUCUUCAUUAUCUUCGCUUUCUUCGGCAGAUGGAGACGAGGAGCUGUUCAACCUUCGUGGCCUAGGGUGUAGCGGUGUGUCACUGAUACCCUGCAAGCUUCCAGAAUUUUCUAGAUCCUUUAGUUGUCGAUAUAUGGCUUUUUGAGACCAGUCAAAAGUCGCCGUUUGUGCGUCUUCCAUCAUCUCAAUGAGAAAUCCAGCUCUUGCACGGAUCAAAUCCAGAGCAUAUGUCAGAGAACUCAUUUCAUAUCGUUUUAGAAGCGUUUCAGCAACAGUUGUCACAUUAAGCCGACGUUUAGAGAGAAGGCCCGAUUCUUUCAUAUCCAAAACAACCUCGAAAAUUGUAUCAGCUUGGGCCUUUCCCACGGCCGAGGCAUCGGGUGACACAUCUGAUUCUUCGUCUGAUUCACUCUUCUCUUGGGCCUCGUCAGCAGCUGCCUCAGCCCGCUCGAAUACAUCCUUUGAAGUGAAGUUAGAAUUCGGAGUUUAUUUCAUUGUGAAGCGGAUUUCAUCAACAGAGAUCUUGCUACGAGCUACCAUACCAGAUACAGUUCACGUAGGUGAGCAUAAAUGGGAGUCGAAGCCCAAUCCACAUUCUCCUUACCCCGUACCAUCUGGUUAAUGAGGAACUCGUGGUGUUUGUAGAACACCUCCGCUGAGUCCUCCGCGUCCUCGCAGGUCCCAUUGGUAUGCUUGGUAUACUAUCGAGAGAAGGGUGGAAAUCUACUUUUGGGUUCCAUUUUUUACCCCGCUUCCGGCUCUUCUGGUGCUUAUCCGCGAGAAAAUAUAGAAGAUCAAUGGCUUCGACCAUUUCGUUGAACAUCGGUUUAUAUCCUCUGGCUGGCGAGAUAGAAAACCAACCUGCCACGCCCGCAACCCACAAGCCGAUCUCGCCAUCGUCGUGCUGACCGUAGGCAUAAUGGGUGACAUUAUCAAUGAGGACUCGUUUGUUUCGGUAGGAGUCAUCGAGGACUGUUGGAGGGAGCAGAGUUAGGACAAUGAAAAAGAAAAUCAACGCUGGACAUAUUCUCCAUACCAAGCUCUUCCUGCUCUUCCUCUACAAUUUCCAAUUGACCUGUGACACGAACAGGAUUGUCUACCGAAGCAAACAAGACGUUUGCAUAUCGUGUCUUGCCUGGAACAAGAACCUUGACGUCGGUUAGGGCGAACUCUUCCCAGUCAUUCUCAUCUCUAAGGGAAGCGUCUCUAGCAGCGAGGACAUUCUCGAUUCGCGUUGUCAUAUCUCCAAAAACAUCAUGAUGCCUUCAGAUGGAGUUGUGAGUCGACGCGCAUUAAUGGAGGCAAGGCCUUGCUGGUUUUCGAAACGAAUGUGGAGCUAAGACUUUCCCCAAACGGUCACCGUUCCGUAUCUAUGGAAAGUCGGAAAAUCCAUUAUGUCUCCACAAUCAAUAUAAAACUAAGGAAUGGUUGGUAAUAUACAAAUGGGAGGAUACAUAACGUAUUAUCAAUCUUUCAGAAAAUAAAAGUAUCCUAUAUUAGAUGAGAUAUUAGGGGUAUC